CUAAAUUGUCAAAGGAACGCAUGAAGGUAUUACAUGACAAGCACAUCCAAAAAAAGAAUUUUGAGCCCAAUGAGCAAGUCUUACUUUACAAUUCCUGCCUCCAUCUAUUUCCAGGCAAAUUCAGAUCGAGGUGGAGUGGGCCUUAUGUAGUUAAGGCUGUGUUUCCAUAUGGAGCUGUUGAGAUUACUAAUCCUCAAAAUGGAAACACUUUCAAAGUUAAUGGCCAACGACUUAAACAUUUUUUGACAAAACUUUCACAUGAGGAUACUUCCAUUCCUUUGGAAGAUCCCAAUUAUUCUCAUGGUCCUUAGCUCAUUUUUUUUUGUUUUGAUUUUUUUUUUCUCUUCUUUUCCUUUUAUUUUUCUGCUUUUAUUUGUUUCAGUUCUAUGUUUUUUUUUCUUUCUUUCUUUUUCUUUUUCUUUUUCUUUAGUAUAUCUUUUCAGGUUCAGCACUGUUUAUUCUUUUAUGAUUUCAUUUUUACGUUCACAAUCCUUUCAGCCAUCUCAGGUAUUUUCCUUCGACCCUAUUUUCUUUCAUCCCUUGUUUUAUUCAUGAUUUGCAUUGAGGACACUGCCCAUUUUUAGUUGGGGGGUAAGGAGAGCCUUCUACCAUUAGUCUCUCAGGAUUAAUAAUUGUGGGGUCUGAAUUUUUGUUGCUACCAAGCUACUAUUUUCACACUUCUCUACUUAAGAUCAGAUAGUUGCAGUUUUGGGCUACACUAAUUCCCAUUGGUUAGUUUUAAGUUUGACACUUGACCUUAUGAUAAGUCUUAGCAACUCAAACUUGGGAAAGUUACUUCAAAGCUAUUGAUUGAUGACCUUAAUUGACACAAGCAGAUACUUUUUGUGGUUUGUUUGAUGACAAUCAGUGGUUUCUUCUAAGCAACUAGCAAGAACUACAAUGAACCAUAUCUUAAUAGCUUAGGAAAAGUGUGAUAAAAAAAAAAAAGAAAAGAAAAAGAAAAAAAAGAUGGUGCUAGUACAUUGGAAAAGGCUGCCUAUCACCGGGAUCU
Long non-coding RNA from Juglans microcarpa x Juglans regia, 1012 nucleotides. RefSeq lists it as uncharacterized. Lineage: Eukaryota; Viridiplantae; Streptophyta; Magnoliopsida; Fagales; Juglandaceae. The record is from RefSeq and is a predicted model, not a curated record. The transcript is spliced from 2 exons.